Long non-coding RNA from Chenopodium quinoa (quinoa), 599 nucleotides. RefSeq lists it as uncharacterized. The transcript is spliced from 2 exons. The record is from RefSeq and is a predicted model, not a curated record. NCBI's taxonomy places the organism in Eukaryota, Viridiplantae, Streptophyta, Magnoliopsida, Caryophyllales, Amaranthaceae.
UUCUCUCUCAUCUAGUUAAGAGCUUCAAACCCUAGAUCUAACUUCACUAGCCGCACCUUCAGACUACAGAACCACCAUUUUGACGAGUUUCGCUGUCGUCAACCGCUCUAAUUUCAUCGGCAAACUGCAACAGAUUCAUGGACAUGGAAGAAAGUAGUGAUGCGUCAAAGCCAUCAGCUCCGAGAUGCAGAUUCCACCGCCAUUAGCCUCUACUAAACAAGCGACUAUGCCUAUUAAUGAUCAGUCCACACAACAAGAUUUUGAUUCACAACAUAAUUCCAUGGAUUUACCUCCACGUCAACCUAAAAGGCUUAAAUCAGAAGUCUGGAAUCAUUUUGAGAAGUUGACAAUCAAUGGUGUAGCAAAAGCAAGAUGUCUACAUUGUAAAAACCUCUUCUCACGAAAUAGUAAAAAUGGGACCUCCCAUUUAAAAGACCAUAUUGAGAAUAGGUGUGUUAAAAUGCAUGUAGUGAAGAUCGAUGUGCGCCAACAACAUUGUCUAUUAAUCGUAGAUAUGAUUCAACAAGAAUAGAAAACCAUGUAUUUAGUCAAGAAGUAUCAAGGAAAGAGUUAGCUAACAUGGUUAUUCUCCAUGAGUA